RNAcentral lists this ribosomal RNA (253 nucleotides) under uncultured bacterium. RNAcentral's name for it is "partial 16S ribosomal RNA". It matches the Rfam family "Bacterial small subunit ribosomal RNA", at positions 524 to 776 of the family's 1533-position model. The record is from RNAcentral.
UACGUAGGGGGCAAGCGUUGUCCGGAAUCAUUGGGCGUAAAGCGCGUGUAGGCGGCCAGGUAAGUCCGUUCUGAAAGCCCGGGGCUCAACCCCGGGAGGCGGAUGGAUACUGCUUGGCUCGAGUCCGGAAGGGGCGAGUGGAAUUCCCGGUGUGGCGGUGAAAUGCGCAGAUAUCGGGAGGAACACCAAUGGCGAAGGCAGCUCGCUGGGACGGUACUGACGCUGAGGAGCGAAAGCGUGGGGAGCGAACAGG